This 440-nucleotide ribosomal RNA is filed under the name uncultured bacterium. Its description in RNAcentral is "partial 16S ribosomal RNA". It matches the Rfam family "Bacterial small subunit ribosomal RNA", at positions 338 to 795 of the family's 1533-position model. The record is from RNAcentral.
CCUACGGGCGGCAGCAGUGGGGGAUAUUGCACAAUGGGGGGAACCCUGAUGCAGCGACGCCGCGUGGGUGAAGAAGCGCCUCGGCGCGUAAAGCCCUGUCAGCAGGGAAGAAAAUGACGGUACCUGAAGAAGAAGCCCCGGCUAACUACGUGCCAGCAGCCGCGGGAAUACGUAGGGGGCAAGCGUUAUCCGGAUUUACUGGGGGUAAAGGGGGCGCAGACGGCGGUGCAAGCCAGGAGUGAAAGCCCGGGGCCCAACCCCGGGACUGCUCUUGGAACUGGGUGGCUGGAGUGCAGGAGGGGCAGGUGGAAUUCCUGGUGUAGCGGUGAAAGGCGUAGAUAUCAGGAGGAACACCGGUGGCGAAGGCGACCUUCUGGACUGCAACUGACGCUGAGGCCCGAAAGCGUGGGGAGCAAACAGGAUUAGAUACCCGAGUAGUC